CUACGUAGCUCAGAGUUUGAUCCUGGCUCAGGAUUAACGCUGGCGGCGUGCAUAACACAUUCAAGUCGAACGGAGUAUAGAAAUAUACUUAGUGGCGGACGGGUGAGUAACGCGUGAGCAAUCUACCUUCCAGUGAGGGAUAACAACCGGAAACAGUUGCUAAUACCUCAUGAAAUAGCAGCAUCGCAUGGUGCAACUAUCAAAGAUUUAUUGCUGGAAGAUGAGCUUGCGUCUGAUUAGAUAGUAGGCGGGGUAGCGGCCCACCUAGUCGACGAUCGGUAGCCGGACUGAGAGGUUGAACGGCCACAUUGGAACUGAGAUACGGUCCAG
Molecule: ribosomal RNA, 330 nt
Filed under: uncultured bacterium
Lineage: Bacteria
Description: bacterial SSU rRNA
Rfam family: Bacterial small subunit ribosomal RNA
Source: RNAcentral